This 464-nucleotide ribosomal RNA is filed under the name uncultured bacterium. RNAcentral's name for it is "partial 16S ribosomal RNA". It matches the Rfam family "Bacterial small subunit ribosomal RNA", at positions 28 to 507 of the family's 1533-position model. The record is from RNAcentral.
GACGAACGCUGGCGGCGUGCUUAACACAUGCAAGUCGACCGAAAGGCCCUGGCUUCCGGGUAAUCGAAUGGGCAAACGGGGGAUAAAAAGUGGGGGAUCUGCCCUGCACUUCGGGAUAAGGCCGGGAAACUGGGGCUAAUACCGGAUAGGAGCCGAUUUUAGUGUGGUGGGUGGAAAGGUUUUUCGGUGUAGGAUGAGCUCGCGGCCUAUCAGCUUGUUGGUGGGGUAAUGGCCUACCAAGGCGGCGACGGGUAGCCGGCCUGAGAGGGUGGACGGCCACAUUGGGACUGAGAUACGGCCCAGACUCCUACGGGAGGCAGCAGUGGGGAAUAUUGCACAAUGGGCGCAAGCCUGAUGCAGCGACGCCGCGUGGGGGAUGACGGCCUUCGGGUUGUAAACUCCUUUCGCUAGGGACGAAGCUUUUUGUGACGGUACCUAGAUAAGAAGCACCGGCUAACUACGUG